RNAcentral lists this ribosomal RNA (495 nucleotides) under uncultured bacterium. RNAcentral describes it as "partial 16S ribosomal RNA". It matches the Rfam family "Bacterial small subunit ribosomal RNA", at positions 28 to 507 of the family's 1533-position model. The record is from RNAcentral.
GACGAACGCUGGCGGCGUGCCUAAUACAUGCAAGUAGAACGCUGAAGGAGGGGCUUGCUUCUCUGGAUGAGUUGCGAACGGGUGAGUAACGCGUAGGUAACCUGCCUGGUAGCGGGGGAUAACUAUUGGAAACGAUAGCUAAUACCGCAUAAUAGCAGUUGUUGCAUGACAACUGUUUGAAAGGUGCAAUUGCACCACUACCAGAUGGACCUGCGUUGUAUUAGCUAGUUGGUGGGGUAACGGCUCACCAAGGCGACGAUACAUAGCCGACCUGAGAGGGUGAUCGGCCACACUGGGACUGAGACACGGCCCAGACUCCUACGGGAGGCAGCAGUAGGGAAUCUUCGGCAAUGGACGGAAGUCUGACCGAGCAACGCCGCGUGAGUGAAGAAGGUUUUCGGAUCGUAAAGCUCUGUUGUAAGAGAAGAACGAGUGUGAGAGUGGAAAGUUCACACUGUGACGGUAGCUUACCAGAAAGGGACGGCUAACUACGUG